UCCUCGAGAUAGGACCCAAUCAGCCGGCGA
Molecule: small RNA, 30 nt
Filed under: Bombyx mori (domestic silkworm)
Lineage: Eukaryota; Metazoa; Arthropoda; Insecta; Lepidoptera; Bombycidae
Description: ovarian small RNA-27799
Source: RNAcentral